GACGAACGCUGGCGGCGUGCUUAACACAUGCAAGUCGUACGGUAAGGCCCUUUCGGGGGUACACGAGUGGCGAACGGGUGAGUAACACGUGAGUAACCUGCCCACAACUUUGGGAUAACGCUAGGAAACUGGUGCUAAUACUGGAUAUGUGCUCCUGCUGCAUGGUGGGGGUUGGAAAGCUCCGGCGGUUGUGGAUGGACUCGCGGCCUAUCAGCUUGUUGGUGGGGUAGUGGCCUACCAAGGCGGCGACGGGUAGCCGGCCUGAGAGGGUGACCGGCCACAUUGGGACUGAGAUACGGCCCAGACUCCUACGGGAGGCAGCAGUGGGGAAUAUUGCACAAUGGGCGCAAGCCUGAUGCAGCAACGCCGCGUGCGGGAUGACGGCCUUCGGGUUGUAAACCGCUUUCAGCAGGGACGAAGCUUUUUGUGACGGUACCUGCAGAAGAAGCACCGGCUAACCACGUG
RNAcentral lists this ribosomal RNA (465 nucleotides) under uncultured bacterium. RNAcentral's name for it is "partial 16S ribosomal RNA". It matches the Rfam family "Bacterial small subunit ribosomal RNA", at positions 28 to 507 of the family's 1533-position model. The record is from RNAcentral.